Molecule: ribosomal RNA, 497 nt
Filed under: uncultured bacterium
Lineage: Bacteria
Description: partial 16S ribosomal RNA
Rfam family: Bacterial small subunit ribosomal RNA
Source: RNAcentral
GAUGAACGCUGGCGGCGUGCCUAAUACAUGCAAGUCGAGCGAACGGACGAGAAGCUUGCUUCUCUGAUGUUAGCGGCGGACGGGUGAGUAACACGUGGAUAACCUACCUAUAAGACUGGGAUAACUUCGGGAAACCGGAGCUAAUACCGGAUGAUAUUUUGAACCGCAUGGUUCAAAAGUGAAAGACGGUCUUGCUGUCACUUAUAGAUGGAUCCGCGCUGCAUUAGCUAGUUGGUAAGGUAACGGCUUACCAAGGCAACGAUGCAUAGCCGACCUGAGAGGGUGAUCGGCCACACUGGAACUGAGACACGGUCCAGACUCCUACGGGAGGCAGCGGUAGGGAAUCUUCCGCACUGGGCGAAAGCCUGACGGAGCAACGCCGCGUGAGUGAUGAAGGUCUUCGGAUCGUAAAACUCUGUUAUUAGGGAAGACCAUAUGUGUAAGUAACUGUGCACAUCUUGACGGUACCUAAUCAGAAAGCCACGGCUAACUACGUG